GGGGUGCUAGUAGAAGAAAUACACUGCUUUGUCAAGGCAGAGUUGCAGAGGUAAGUCCUGCGUACUCCU
RNAcentral lists this transfer RNA (69 nucleotides) under Tetrabrachium ocellatum (four-armed frogfish). Its description in RNAcentral is "tRNA-Asp". Lineage: Eukaryota; Metazoa; Chordata; Actinopteri; Lophiiformes; Tetrabrachiidae. The record is from RNAcentral.